RNAcentral lists this ribosomal RNA (2928 nucleotides) under Bacillus velezensis. RNAcentral's name for it is "bacterial LSU rRNA". It matches the Rfam family "Bacterial large subunit ribosomal RNA". The record is from RNAcentral. Lineage: Bacteria; Bacillati; Bacillota; Bacilli; Caryophanales; Bacillaceae.
UUAAGUUAGAAAGGGCGCAUGGUGGAUGCCUUGGCACUAGGAGCCGAUGAAGGACGGGACGAACACCGAUAUGCUUCGGGGAGCUGUAAGCAAGCUUUGAUCCGGAGAUUUCCGAAUGGGGAAACCCACCACUCGUAAUGGAGUGGUAUCCAUAUCUGAAUACAUAGGAUAUGAGAAGGCAGACCCGGGGAACUGAAACAUCUAAGUACCCGGAGGAAGAGAAAGCAAAUGCGAUUCCCUGAGUAGCGGCGAGCGAAACGGGACCAGCCCAAACCAAGAGGCUUGCCUCUUGGGGUUGUAGGACACUCUGUACGGAGUUACAAAGGAACGAGGUAGAUGAAGAGGUCUGGAAAGGCCCGCCAUAGAAGGUAACAGCCCUGUAGUCAAAACUUCGUUCUCUCCUGAGUGGAUCCUGAGUACGGCGGAACACGUGAAAUUCCGUCGGAAUCCGGGAGGACCAUCUCCCAAGGCUAAAUACUCCCUAGUGACCGAUAGUGAACCAGUACCGUGAGGGAAAGGUGAAAAGCACCCCGGAAGGGGAGUGAAAGAGAUCCUGAAACCGUGUGCCUACAAGUAGUCAGAGCCCGUUAACGGGUGAUGGCGUGCCUUUUGUAGAAUGAACCGGCGAGUUACGAUCCCGUGCAAGGUUAAGCAGAAGAUGCGGAGCCGCAGCGAAAGCGAGUCUGAAUAGGGCGAAUUGAGUACGUGGUCGUAGACCCGAAACCAGGUGAUCUACCCAUGUCCAGGGUGAAGUUCAGGUAACACUGAAUGGAGGCCCGAACCCACGCACGUUGAAAAGUGCGGGGAUGAGGUGUGGGUAGGGGUGAAAUGCCAAUCGAACCUGGAGAUAGCUGGUUCUCUCCGAAAUAGCUUUAGGGCUAGCCUCAAGGUAAGAGUCUCGGAGGUAGAGCACUGAUUGGACUAGGGGCCCCUACCGGGUUACCGAAUUCAGUCAAACUCCGAAUGCCGAUGACUUAUCCUUGGGAGUCAGACUGCGAGUGAUAAGAUCCGUAGUCGAAAGGGAAACAGCCCAGACCGCCAGCUAAGGUCCCAAAGUAUACGUUAAGUGGAAAAGGAUGUGGAGUUGCUUAGACAACCAGGAUGUUGGCUUAGAAGCAGCCACCAUUUAAAGAGUGCGUAAUAGCUCACUGGUCGAGUGACUCUGCGCCGAAAAUGUACCGGGGCUAAACGUAUCACCGAAGCUGCGGACUGUUCUUCGAACAGUGGUAGGAGAGCGUUCUAAGGGCUGUGAAGCAAGACCGGAAGGACUUGUGGAGCGCUUAGAAGUGAGAAUGCCGGUAUGAGUAGCGAAAGAGGGGUGAGAAUCCCCUCCACCGAAUGCCUAAGGUUUCCUGAGGAAGGCUCGUCCGCUCAGGGUUAGUCGGGACCUAAGCCGAGGCCGAAAGGCGUAGGCGAUGGAUAACAGGUUGAUAUUCCUGUACCACCUCCUCACCAUUUGAGCAAUGGGGGGACGCAGGAGGAUAGGGUAAGCGCGGUAUUGGAUAUCCGCGUCCAAGCAGUUAGGCUGGGAAAUAGGCAAAUCCGUUUCCCGUGAAGGCUGAGCUGUGAUGGCGAGCGAAUUAUAGUAGCGAAGUUCCUGAUUCCACACUGCCAAGAAAAGCCUCUAGCGAGGUGAGAGGUGCCCGUACCGCAAACCGACACAGGUAGGCGAGGAGAGAAUCCUAAGGUGAUCGAGAGAACUCUCGUUAAGGAACUCGGCAAAAUGACCCCGUAACUUCGGGAGAAGGGGUGCUCUGUUAGGGUGCAAGCCCGAGAGAGCCGCAGUGAAUAGGCCCAGGCGACUGUUUAGCAAAAACACAGGUCUCUGCGAAGCCGUAAGGCGAAGUAUAGGGGCUGACGCCUGCCCGGUGCUGGAAGGUUAAGAGGAGCGCUUAGCGUAAGCGAAGGUGCGAAUUGAAGCCCCAGUAAACGGCGGCCGUAACUAUAACGGUCCUAAGGUAGCGAAAUUCCUUGUCGGGUAAGUUCCGACCCGCACGAAAGGCGCAACGAUCUGGGCACUGUCUCAACGAGAGACUCGGUGAAAUUAUAGUACCUGUGAAGAUGCAGGUUACCCGCGACAGGACGGAAAGACCCCGUGGAGCUUUACUGCAGCCUGAUAUUGAAUGUUGGUACAGCUUGUACAGGAUAGGUAGGAGCCUUGGAAACCGGAGCGCCAGCUUCGGUGGAGGCAUCGGUGGGAUACUACCCUGGCUGUAUUGACCUUCUAACCCGCCGCCCUUAUCGGGCGGGGAGACAGUGUCAGGUGGGCAGUUUGACUGGGGCGGUCGCCUCCUAAAAGGUAACGGAGGCGCCCAAAGGUUCCCUCAGAAUGGUUGGAAAUCAUUCGCAGAGUGUAAAGGCACAAGGGAGCUUGACUGCGAGACCUACAAGUCGAGCAGGGACGAAAGUCGGGCUUAGUGAUCCGGUGGUUCCGCAUGGAAGGGCCAUCGCUCAACGGAUAAAAGCUACCCCGGGGAUAACAGGCUUAUCUCCCCCAAGAGUCCACAUCGACGGGGAGGUUUGGCACCUCGAUGUCGGCUCAUCGCAUCCUGGGGCUGUAGUCGGUCCCAAGGGUUGGGCUGUUCGCCCAUUAAAGCGGUACGCGAGCUGGGUUCAGAACGUCGUGAGACAGUUCGGUCCCUAUCCGUCGCGGGCGCAGGAAAUUUGAGAGGAGCUGUCCUUAGUACGAGAGGACCGGGAUGGACGCACCGCUGGUGUACCAGUUGUUCUGCCAAGGGCAUCGCUGGGUAGCUAUGUGCGGACGGGAUAAGUGCUGAAAGCAUCUAAGCAUGAAGCCCCCCUCAAGAUGAGAUUUCCCAUUCCGCAAGGAAGUAAGAUCCCUGAAAGAUGAUCAGGUUGAUAGGUCUGAGGUGGAAGUGUGGCGACACAUGGAGCUGACAGAUACUAAUCGAUCGAGGACUUAACCAA